UGCGUAGGCGGUUUGUUUAGUCAGAUGUGAAAGCCCCGGGCUUAACCUGGGAACUGCAUUUGAAACUGGCAGACUAGAGUAUGGUAGAGGGGGGUAGAAUUCAUAGUGUAGCGGUGAAAUGCGUAGAUAUUAUGAGGAAUACCAGUGGCGAAGGCGGCCCCCUGGACCAAUACUGACGCUGAGGUACGAAAGCGUGGGUAGCGAACAGGAUUAGAUACCCUGGUAGUCC
Molecule: ribosomal RNA, 229 nt
Filed under: uncultured bacterium
Lineage: Bacteria
Description: partial 16S ribosomal RNA
Rfam family: Bacterial small subunit ribosomal RNA
Source: RNAcentral